UUUGUACUUCCUCCGUCCCAAAAUUCUUGUCUUAGAUUUGUCUAAAUACGGAUGUAUCAAGUCACAUUUUAGUAUUAGAUACAUCCGUACCUAAAUAAGUUAAGACAGAAUUUUGGACGGAAGGAGUACAGU
Triticum aestivum (bread wheat) is the source of this 132-nucleotide non-coding RNA. Lineage: Eukaryota; Viridiplantae; Streptophyta; Magnoliopsida; Poales; Poaceae. The record is from Rfam.